CCAGACUCCUACGGGAGGCAGCAGUGGGGAAUAUUGGGCAAUGGGCGCAAGCCUGACCCAGCAAUGCCGCGUGAAGGAAGAAGGCCUUCGGGUUGUAAACUUCUUUUAUCAGGGACGAAGGAUGUGACGGUACCUGAUGAAUAAGCUCCGGCUAACUACGUGCCAGCAGCCGCGGUAAUACGUAGGGAGCAAGCGUUAUCCGGAUUUACUGGGUGUAAAGGGCGUGUAGGCGGGAGUGCAAGUCAGAUGUGAAAACUAUGGGCUCAACCCAUAGCCUGCAUUUGAAACUGUACUUCUUGAGUGCUGGAGAGGCAAUCGGAAUUCCGUGUGUAGCGGUGAAAUGCGUAGAUAUACGGAGGAACACCAGUGGCGAAGGCGGAUUGCUGGACAGUAACUGACGCUGAGGCGCGAAAGCGUGGGGAGCAAACAGGAUUAGAUACCCCCGUACCA
Molecule: ribosomal RNA, 450 nt
Filed under: uncultured bacterium
Lineage: Bacteria
Description: bacterial SSU rRNA
Rfam family: Bacterial small subunit ribosomal RNA
Source: RNAcentral